RNAcentral lists this long non-coding RNA (262 nucleotides) under Gossypium raimondii (Peruvian cotton). RNAcentral describes it as "long non-coding RNA (GRAI_LNC005719)". Lineage: Eukaryota; Viridiplantae; Streptophyta; Magnoliopsida; Malvales; Malvaceae. The record is from RNAcentral.
UUCGAAAUUAUAAAAAAAUUUCGAAAAAAAGAAAAAAAGAGAGAGAGAAUUUGAAAAAAAAUCGAAGUUUAAAAAAAUUCAAAAAAAAAAUUCAAAAAAAAUUCAAAAAAAAGUGACAAAAAAAAUCGAGCAACAAAAAAGUUGAAAGUUUGUUACUGUUUUCAUUUAUUCCUGCUCCGAUCAUCAAGUUUCCCUUCCUACCAUUAUUUACCCCUCCGAACGCCGCACUUUAAACCAAUUUUUCCUUUGUUCAGCCUACCCU